ACCUACGGGAGGCAGCAGUGAGGAAUCUUCCGCAAUGGACGAAAGCCUGACUGAGCAACGCCGCGUGAGCGAAGAAGGUCUUCGGAUCGUAAAGCUCUGUUGUUAGGGAAGAACAAGUAUCGGAGGAAAUGCCGGUACCUUGACGGUACCUGACGAGAAAGCCACGGCUAACUACGUGCCAGCAGCCGCGGUAAUACGUAGGUGGCAAGCGUUGUCCGGAAUUAUUGGGCGUAAAGCGCGCGCAGGCGGUCCUUUAAGUCUGAUGUGAAAUCUUGCGGCUCAACCGCAAGCGGUCAUUGGAAACUGGGGGACUUGAGUGCAGAAGAGGAAAGCGGAAUUCCACGUGUAGCGGUGAAAUGCGUAGAGAUGUGGAGGAACACCAGUGGCGAAGGCGACUUUCUGGACUUAAACUGACGCUGAGGUACGAAAGCGUGGGGAGCAAACAGGAUUAGAUACCCUGGUAU
RNAcentral lists this ribosomal RNA (464 nucleotides) under uncultured bacterium. RNAcentral's name for it is "bacterial SSU rRNA". It matches the Rfam family "Bacterial small subunit ribosomal RNA", at positions 337 to 793 of the family's 1533-position model. The record is from RNAcentral.